RNAcentral lists this long non-coding RNA (804 nucleotides) under Nicotiana benthamiana. RNAcentral's name for it is "long non-coding RNA (NBEN_LNC039283)". The record is from RNAcentral. Lineage: Eukaryota; Viridiplantae; Streptophyta; Magnoliopsida; Solanales; Solanaceae.
UUUUUGAAAAUGCAUUUUGUUUUAAAUGGACAAGAUUUCAAAAAAACGUGAAUAUAAACUCAUUUGACUUCAUAUUGGUACCUGAUAGAAAAACAUGUUUGUGUUAGAAACUUUAAGAAAUCAAAAUACAGUAAAAGAGAGAGACUAAAUUCAAAAGGAAGGUUUAGUUCUGAGCCUUCUAAAUGAUAACUUCACCAUCUUUCUGUUCUAGAAAUUAAUGAUCUCUAAGCAACCCAAUCUAAUUAAAUAUCAUAAGAAAACUUAAGUUAAAUCCCCACGAACGGUAAACAAAGAAAUAGAAAUAACACAUUAAUACUCAAAACACAUAAGGUACAAGUCAAGGAAAAUCAACAAGACAUGAAUGGGAACAUCUGCUAUUCCCUCCCGGCAUUCCUUGACUUUUCAGUUCAGCUGUACUUCAGGAAAGCAAGAGAAAUGGAUGAAGAGAAAGCUGAUCUCGGGUCUGGCGGCAGCAGGGAGUCUUAAAGUGAAACUCUUGUUGGGCAGUGAACCAGGCUGAGGUCUCGGAUCCAACGAAAACUCUGAACGUAGCCUCGGAUUAAACGAGGGGGUUCAAGCUUAAACUUGGAGGGGAUAGAGGGGUAAUUCAGAGCUUUAGGAAUUUUAGGGGUAAAGGAGCGGCUGAAGCAAAAACUUAGAGGGGCGGCUCAGAGCUUUAGCAUUUUUAGGGGGUAAAGCGGCGGCUCAAAACCACGAGCCAGAAUAGAUGCCAACAACAUGUACUUAUAGGGAUGAUGUUUAGGGCUAGGGGACCAUUGAGCGGAAUAAAACUAUCCGUUUGAA